Molecule: transfer RNA, 76 nt
Filed under: Phytophthora infestans (potato late blight agent)
Lineage: Eukaryota; Oomycota; Peronosporomycetes; Peronosporales; Peronosporaceae
Description: tRNA-Pro
Rfam family: tRNA (bases 12-72)
About the family: Transfer RNA (tRNA) molecules are approximately 80 nucleotides in length. Their secondary structure includes four short double-helical elements and three loops (D, anti-codon, and T loops).
Source: RNAcentral
GGCAACACCCUUUUAGCUCAGUGGUCGAGCGUUGGCUUUGGAAGCCACAGGUUGGUGGUUCGAACCCACCAGGCCA